This 393-nucleotide ribosomal RNA is filed under the name uncultured bacterium. RNAcentral's name for it is "partial 16S ribosomal RNA". It matches the Rfam family "Bacterial small subunit ribosomal RNA", at positions 523 to 918 of the family's 1533-position model. The record is from RNAcentral.
AUACGGAGGAUGCAAGCGUUAUCCGGAUUUAUUGGGUUUAAAGGGUGCGUAGGCGGUUUGCUAAGCGGGAGGUGAAAUGCCGGCGCUCAACGUCGGAAGUGCCUCCCGAACUGGUGGACUUGAAUGACUCUGCCGUGGGAGGAAUGUGUAGUGUAGCGGUGAAAUGCUUAGAGAUUACACAGAACACCGAUUGCGAAGGCAUCGCACGAAGGGUUGAUUGACGCUGAGGCACGAAAGCGGGGGGAUCAAACAGGAUUAGAUACCCUGGUAGUCCACGCAGUAAACGAUGAUGGCUAACCGCUGGGCUUAUCAGUUCAGUGGCCAAGCGAAAGCGAUAAGCCAUCCACCUGGGGAGUACGACCGCAAGGUUGAAACUCAAAUGAAUUGACGGGG